CGUAACUGACGCUGAGGAGCGAAAGCGUGGGGAGCGAACAGGAUUAGAUACCCUGGUAGUCCACGCCGUAAACGGUGGGUGCUAGUUGUGGGCCACAUUCCACGUGGUCCGUGACGAAGUUAACACAUUAAGCACCCCGCCUGGGGAGUACGGUCGCAAGACUAAAACUCAAAGGAAUUGACGGGGGCCCGCACAAGCGGCGGAGCAUGCGGAUUAAUUCGAUGCAACGCGAAGAACCUUACCAAGACUUGACAUAUAGUAGAAAAGCGUAGAAAUACGCUCCCCGCAAGGCUGCUAUACAGGUGGUGCAUGGUUGUCGUCAGCUCGUGUCGUGAGAUGUUGGGUUAAGUCCCGCAACGAGCGCAACCCUCGUCCUAUGUUGCCAGCACGUAAUGGUGGGAACUCAUGGGAGACUGCCGGGGUCAACUCGGAGGAAGGUGGGGAUGACGUCAAAUCAUCAUGCCCCUUAUGUCUUGGGCUUCACGCAUGCUACAAUGGCCGAUACAAAGGGCUGCGAUACCGCAAGGUGGAGCGAAUCCCAUAAAGUCGGUCUCAGUUCGGAUUGGGGUCUGCAACUCGACCCCAUGAAGUCGGAGUCGCUAGUAAUCGUAGAUCAGCAACGCUACGGUGAUACGUUCCCGGGCCUUGUACACACCGCCCGUCAAGUCACGAAAGUCGGUAACACCCGAAGCCGGUGGCCUAACCGUAA
RNAcentral lists this ribosomal RNA (709 nucleotides) under uncultured Actinomycetes bacterium. RNAcentral describes it as "bacterial SSU rRNA". It matches the Rfam family "Bacterial small subunit ribosomal RNA", at positions 735 to 1444 of the family's 1533-position model. Lineage: Bacteria; Bacillati; Actinomycetota; Actinomycetes. The record is from RNAcentral.